Molecule: ribosomal RNA, 443 nt
Filed under: uncultured bacterium
Lineage: Bacteria
Description: partial 16S ribosomal RNA
Rfam family: Bacterial small subunit ribosomal RNA
Source: RNAcentral
CCUACGGGAGGCAGCAGUGGGGAAUAUUGGGCAAUGGAGGAAACUCUGACCCAGCAACGCCGCGUGAAUGAUGAAGGUCUUCGGAUUGUUAAGUUCUUUUCUAAGGGAAGAAGAAAGUGACGGUACCUUAGGAAUAAGCCUCGGCUAACUACGUGCCAGCAGCCGCGGUCAUACGUAGGAGGCGAGCGUUAUGCGGAAUGACUGGGCGUAAAGGGUGCGUAGGGGGUUUGGCAAGUUAGUAGCGUAACUCCAAGGCUCAACCUUGGAACUACUACUAAAACUGGUGGACUUGAGUGCAGGAGAGGCAACCGGAAUUCCUAGUGUAGCGGUGGAAUGCGUAGAUAUUAGGAGGAACACCGGUGGCGAAGGCGGGUUGCUGGACUGUAACUGACGCUGAGGCACGAAAGCGUGGGGAGCAAACAGGAUUAGAUACCCCUGUAGUC